Molecule: ribosomal RNA, 791 nt
Filed under: uncultured bacterium
Lineage: Bacteria
Description: bacterial SSU rRNA
Rfam family: Bacterial small subunit ribosomal RNA
Source: RNAcentral
AGAGUUUGAUCCUGGCUCAGAUUGAACGCUGGCGGCAUGCCUUACACAUGCAAGUCGAACGGCAGCGCGGGGCAACCUGGCGGCGAGUGGCGAACGGGUGAGUAAUAUAUCGGAACGUACCCUGGAGUGGGGGAUAACGUAGCGAAAGUUACGCUAAUACCGCAUACGAUCUAAGGAUGAAAGUGGGGGAUCGCAAGACCUCAUGCUCCUGGAGCGGCCGAUAUCUGAUUAGCUAGUUGGUGGGGUAAAGGCCUACCAAGGCAUCGAUCAGUAGCUGGUCUGAGAGGACGACCAGCCACACUGGAACUGAGACACGGUCCAGACUCCUACGGGAGGCAGCAGUGGGGAAUUUUGGACAAUGGGCGAAAGCCUGAUCCAGCAAUGCCGCGUGAGUGAAGAAGGCCUUCGGGUUGUAAAGCUCUUUUGUCAGGGAAGAAACGGUGAGGGCUAAUAUCUCUUGCUAAUGACGGUACCUGAAGAAUAAGCACCGGCUAACUACGUGCCAGCAGCCGCGGUAAUACGUAGGGUGCAAGCGUUGAUCGGAAUUACUGGGCGUAAAGCGUGCGCAGGCGGUUUUGUAAGUCUGUCGUGAAAUCCCCGGGCUCAACCUGGGAAUUGCGAUGGAGACUGCAAGGCUAGAAUCUGGCAGAGGGGGGUAGAAUUCCACGUGUAGCAGUGAAAUGCGUAGAGAUGUGGAGGAACACCGAUGGCGAAGGCAGCCCCCUGGGUCAAGAUUGACGCUCAUGCACGAAAGCGUGGGGAGCAAACAGGAUUAGAUACCCUGGUAGUCG